This 284-nucleotide ribosomal RNA is filed under the name [Candida] sp. RNAcentral describes it as "Candida sp. (in: Saccharomycetales) partial 28S ribosomal RNA". It matches the Rfam family "Eukaryotic large subunit ribosomal RNA", at positions 1 to 275 of the family's 3401-position model. Lineage: Eukaryota; Fungi; Ascomycota; Saccharomycetes; Saccharomycetales. The record is from RNAcentral.
AAACUUUGACCUCAAAUCAGGUAGGACUACCCGCUGAACUUAAGCAUAUCAAUAAGCGGAGGAAAAGAAACCAACAGGGAUUGCCUCAGUAGCGGCGAGUGAAGCGGCAAAAGCUCAAAUUUGAAAUCUGGCGUCUUUGGCGUCCGAGUUGUAAUUUGAAGAAGGUAUCUUUGGGCCCGGCUCUUGUCUAUGUUCCUUGGAACAGGACGUCACAGAGGGUGAGAAUCCCGUGCGAUGAGAUGGCCCGGGUCUAUGUAAAGUUCCUUCGACGAGUCGAGUUGUUU